Molecule: RNase P RNA, 465 nt
Filed under: Acidobacteriota bacterium
Lineage: Bacteria; Pseudomonadati; Acidobacteriota
Also listed under: 1 other name
Description: Acidobacteria bacterium (activated sludge metagenome) RNase P RNA component class A
Rfam family: Bacterial RNase P class A
About the family: Ribonuclease P (RNase P) is a ubiquitous endoribonuclease, found in archaea, bacteria and eukarya as well as chloroplasts and mitochondria. Its best characterised activity is the generation of mature 5'-ends of tRNAs by cleaving the 5'-leader elements of precursor-tRNAs.
Source: RNAcentral
GAGGCCGGAAGGCCGAGAGCGGGGGCGGGAGGAAAGUCCGAACUCCGCAGGGCAGUGCGCCGGGUAACACCCGGUCGGGGCGACCCGAAGGAAAGUGGCACAGAAAACAUACCGCCCGCCUUCGCUCUCGGUGCUUCGCACCUCGAGGCUUCAGCGCGGCAGGCUCCCGUAUCGCACGUGGGCUUGCCUCGACAAAGCCCUCGGGGGCGGAGGACCGAGGGUGAAGUCGGGUAAGGGUGAAAAGGUGCGGUAAGAGCGCACCGCGCGCCUGGCAACAGGCGUGGCAGGCAAAACCCCGCACGGAGCAAGACCAAAUAGGGAAGCACCCGGCGCAAGCCGGACCGGACGGCCCGUCCGGCGCUUCCGGGUAGGUUGCUGGAUUCCGCCAGUGAUGGCGGAACUAGAGGAAUGAUCGUCAUCCGCUUUCGGCGGGGACAGAAUUCGGCUUAUCGACCGGCUGCGACA